AUGAAUGAACCACCAAGAGUUCGUAUGAGAGUUGGUUUAACCGCCCUAACUAUGGUAGAAUAUUUCUGAGAUGUUAAUAAGCAAGACGUGCUUUUAUUUAUUGAUAAUAUCUUUCGUUUUAUUCAAGCAGGAUCAGAGGUAUCUGCUUUAUUAGGGAGAAUGCCCUCCACAGUUGGUUAUCAACCUACUCUUAGUACAGAAAUGGGUUCGAGUCAACUUUCUUGGGUUGAUCGAGAUGGAGAGAGAGACAUACAAUACUGA
Molecule: ribosomal RNA, 261 nt
Filed under: Triticum aestivum (bread wheat)
Lineage: Eukaryota; Viridiplantae; Streptophyta; Magnoliopsida; Poales; Poaceae
Description: partial small subunit ribosomal RNA
Source: RNAcentral